This 404-nucleotide ribosomal RNA is filed under the name uncultured bacterium. RNAcentral describes it as "bacterial SSU rRNA". It matches the Rfam family "Bacterial small subunit ribosomal RNA", at positions 355 to 776 of the family's 1533-position model. The record is from RNAcentral.
UAGGGAAUCUUGCACAAUGGAGGAAACUCUGAUGCAGCGAUGCCGCGUGAGUGAAGAAGGCCCUUGGGUUGUAAAGCUCUUUCGUCGGGGAAGAAAAUGACUGUACCCGAAUAAGAAGAUCCGGCUAACUCCGUGCCAGCAGCCGCGGUAAUACGGAGGGAUCUAGCGUUAUUCGGAAUUACUGGGCGUAAAGCGAGCGUAGGCGGAUUUGUAAGUUGGAGGUGAAAUCCCAGAGCUUAACUCUGGAACUGCCUUCAAAACUACAUUUCUUGAGUUUGGUAGAGGAGAGUGGAAUUCCUAGUGUAGAGGUGAAAUUCGUAGAUAUUAGGAGGAACACCAGUGGCGAAGGCGACUCUCUGGGCCAAUACUGACGCUGAGGUUCGAAAGCAUGGGUAGCGAACAGG